Molecule: ribosomal RNA, 550 nt
Filed under: uncultured bacterium
Lineage: Bacteria
Description: bacterial SSU rRNA
Rfam family: Bacterial small subunit ribosomal RNA
Source: RNAcentral
UAGGGAAUCUUCGGCAAUGGGCGGAAGUCUGACCGAGCAACGCCGCGUGAGUGAAGAAGGUUUUCGGAUCGUAAAGCUCUGUUGUAAGAGAAGAACGAGUGUGAGAGUGGAAAGUUCACACUGUGACGGUAUCUUACCAGAAAGGGACGGCUAACUACGUGCCAGCAGCCGCGGUAAUACGUAGGUCCCGAGCGUUGUCCGGAUUUAUUGGGCGUAAAGCGAGCGCAGGCGGUUAGAUAAGUCUGAAGUUAAAGGCUGUGGCUUAACCAUAGUAGGCUUUGGAAACUGUUUAACUUGAGUGCGAGAGGGGAGAGUGGAAUUCCAUGUGUAGCGGUGAAAUGCGUAGAUAUAUGGAGGAACACCGGUGGCGAAAGCGGCUCUCUGGCUUGUAACUGACGCUGAGGCUCGAAAGCGUGGGGAGCAAACAGGAUUAGAUACCCUGGUAGUCCACGCUGUAAACGAUGAGUGCUAGGUGUUAGACCCUUUCCGGGGUUUAGUGCCGUAGCUAACGCAUUAAGCACUCCGCCUGGGGAGUACGACCGCAAGGUUG